RNAcentral lists this ribosomal RNA (465 nucleotides) under uncultured bacterium. RNAcentral describes it as "partial 16S ribosomal RNA". It matches the Rfam family "Bacterial small subunit ribosomal RNA", at positions 28 to 507 of the family's 1533-position model. The record is from RNAcentral.
GACGAACGCUGACGGCGUGCUUAACACAUGCCAGUCGAACGGAAAGGCCCUGCUUGCAGGGUACUCGAGUGGCGAACGGGUGAGUAACACGUGGGUGAUCUGCCCUGCACUUCGGGAUAAGCCUGGGAAACUGGGUCUAAUACCGGAUAGGAGCCAUUUUUAGUGUGAUGGUUGGAAAGUUUUUUCGGUGUAGGAUGAGCUCGCGGCCUAUCAGCUUGUUGGUGGGGUAAUGGCCUACCAAGGCGGCGACGGGUAGCCGGCCUGAGAGGGUGGACGGCCACAUUGGGACUGAGAUACGGCCCAGACACCUACGGGAGGCAGCAGUGGGGAAUAUUGCACAAUGGGCGCAAGCCUGAUGCAGCGACGCCGCGUGGGGGAUGACGGCCUUCGGGUUGUAAACUCCUUUCGCUAGGGACGAAGCUUUUUGUGACGGUACCUAGAUAAGAAGCACCGGCUAACUACGUG